Molecule: ribosomal RNA, 1336 nt
Filed under: uncultured bacterium
Lineage: Bacteria
Description: 16S ribosomal RNA
Rfam family: Bacterial small subunit ribosomal RNA
Source: RNAcentral
UUCGGUCUCUAGCGGCGGACGGGUGAGUAACACGUGGGUAACCUGCCUUAGUGAGGGGGAUAGCCUCCCGAAAGGGAGAUUAAUACCGCAUAACAUUGCGAUAUCGCAUGAUAUUGUAAUUAAAGGAGUAAUCCGCACUAACAUGGACCCGCGGCGCAUUAGCUAGUUGGUGAGGUAACGGCUCACCAAGGCGACGAUGCGUAGCCAGCCUGAGAGGGUGAACGGCCACGUUGGAACUGAUACACGGUCCAGACUCCUACGGGAGGCGGCACUGUGGAAUAUUGCACAAUGGGCGAAAGCCUGAUGCAGCAACGCCGCGUGAGUGAUGAAGGCCUUCGGGUUGUAAAGCUCUGUCUUCUGGGACGAUAAUGACGGUACCAGAGGAGGAAGCCACGGCUAACUACGUGCCAGCAGCCGCGGUAAUACGUAGGUGGCAAGCGUUGUCCGGAUUUACUGGGCGUAAAGGAUGCGUAGGCGGAUACUUAAGUCAGAUGUGAAAAUCCCGGGCUUAACUUGGGAACUGCAUUUGAAACUGGGUAUCUAGAGUGCGGGAGAGGAAAGUGGAAUUCCUAGUGUAGCGGUGAAAUGCGUAGAGAUUAGGAAGAACACCAGUGGCGAAUGCGACUUUCUGGACCGUAACUGACGCUGAUGCAUGAAAGCGUGGGGAGCAAACAGGAUUGGAUACCCUGGUAGCCCACGCCGUAAACAUGAAUACUAGGUGUUGGGGGGUUAUCAUGACCUCCGUGCCGCAGUUAACACCAUAAGUAUUCCGCCUGGGGAGUACGGUCGCAAGAUUAAAACUCCAAGGAAUUGACCGGGGCCCGCACAAGCAGCGGAGCAUGUGGUCUAAUUUGAAGCAACGCGAUGAUCCUUACGUAGGCUUGACAUCUCCUGAAUAACCGGUAAUGCGGGACGCCAUUCGGGGCAGGAAGACAGGUGGUGCAUGGUCGUAGUCAGCUCGUGUCGUGAGAUGAUGGGUUAAGUCCCGCAACGAGCGCAAUCUUAGUCGUUAGUUGCUACCAAUAAGUCGAGCACUCUAGCGAGACUGCCGCGGUUAACUCGCAGGAAGGUGGGGAUGACGUCAAAUCAUCAUGCCCCUUAUGUGUAGGGUUACACACGUGAUACAAUGGUCGGUACAAAAAGACGCAAAACCGUGAGGUUGAGCAAAACUUUAAAACCGAUCCCAGUUCGGAUCGUAGGCAGCAACUCGCUUACAUGAAGCUGGAGUUGCUAGUAAUCGCAAAUCAGAAUGUUGCGGUGAAUACGUUCCCGGGCCUUGUACACACCGCCCGUCACACCAUGAGAGUUGCCAACACCCGAAGUCCGUGAGCUAACC